This 704-nucleotide ribosomal RNA is filed under the name uncultured bacterium. Its description in RNAcentral is "bacterial SSU rRNA". It matches the Rfam family "Bacterial small subunit ribosomal RNA", at positions 173 to 883 of the family's 1533-position model. The record is from RNAcentral.
AUCUCUAGAAGGCAUCUGAAAGAGAUUAAAGAUUUAUCGGUGAUGGAUGGGGAUGCGUCUGAUUAGCUUGUUGGCGGGGUAACGGCCCACCAAGGCGACGAUCAGUAGGGGUUCUGAGAGGAAGUCCCCCCACAUUGGAACUGAGACACGGUCCAAACUCCUACGGGAGGCAGCAGUGAGGAAUAUUGGUCAAUGGACGAGAGUCUGAACCAGCCAAGUAGCGUGCAGGAUGACGGCCCUAUGGGUUGUAAACUGCUUUUAUAAGGGAAUAAAGUGAGCUUCGUGAGGCUUUUUGCAUGUACCUUAUGAAUAAGGACCGGCUAAUUCCGUGCCAGCAGCCGCGGUAAUACGGAAGGUCCGGGCGUUAUCCGGAUUUAUUGGGUUUAAAGGGAGCGUAGGCCGGAGAUUAAGCGUGUUGUGAAAUGUAGACGCUCAACGUCUGCACUGCAGCGCGAACUGGUUUCCUUGAGUACGCACAAAGUGGGCGGAAUUCGUGGUGUAGCGGUGAAAUGCUUAGAUAUCACGAAGAACUCCGAUUGCGAAGGCAGCUCACUGGAGCGCAACUGACGCUGAAGCUCGAAAGUGCGGGUAUCGAACAGGAUUAGAUACCCUGGUAGUCCGCACGGUAAACGAUGGAUGCCCGCUGUUGGUCUGAAUAGGUCAGCGGCCAAGCGAAAGCAUUAAGCAUCCCACCUGGGGAGUAC